This 900-nucleotide ribosomal RNA is filed under the name Fibroporia gossypium. RNAcentral describes it as "eukaryotic LSU rRNA". It matches the Rfam family "Eukaryotic large subunit ribosomal RNA", at positions 78 to 959 of the family's 3401-position model. The record is from RNAcentral. Lineage: Eukaryota; Fungi; Basidiomycota; Agaricomycetes; Polyporales; Fibroporiaceae.
CCCUAGUAACUGCGAGUGAAGCGGGAAAAGCUCAAAUUUAAAAUCUGGCGGCUUAUAGUUGUCCGAGUUGUAGUCUGGAGAAGUGCUUUCCGCGCUGGACCGUGUACAAGUCCCUUGGAACAGGGCGUCAUAGAGGGUGAGAAUCCCGUCUUUGACACGGACUACCAGUGCUUUGUGAUGCGCUCUCAAAGAGUCGAGUUGUUUGGGAAUGCAGCUCAAAAUGGGUGGUAAAUUCCAUCUAAAGCUAAAUACAGGCGAGAGACCGAUAGCGAACAAGUACCGUGAGGGAAAGAUGAAAAGCACUUUGGAAAGAGAGUUAAACAGUACGUGAAAUUGCUGAAAGGGAAACGAUUGAAGUCAGUCGCGUUGUCUGGAAGUCAGCCUUGCAAUUUUGUUUGGUGUAUUUUUCAGAUUGACGGGCCAGCAUCGAUUUUGACCGUUGGAUAAAGAUGAGGGGAAUGUGGCACCUUCGGGUGUGUUAUAGCCCCUUGUCACAUACAACGGUUGGGAUCGAGGAACUCAGCACGCCUUUAUUGGUCGGGGUUCGCCCACGUUCGUGCUUAGGAUGCUGGCAUAAUGGCUUUAAACGACCCGUCUUGAAACACGGACCAAGGAGUCUAACAUACCUGCGAGUGUUUGGGUGGUAAACCCGAGCGCGUAAUUAAAGUAAAAGUUGAGAUCCCCGUUACAAGGGAGCAUCGACGCCCGGACUUGACCUUCUGUGAUAGCUCUGCGGUAGAGCAUGUAUGUUGGGACCCGAAAGAUGGUGAACUAUGCCUGAAUAGGGUGAAGCCAGAGGAAACUCUGGUGGAGGCUCGUAGCGAUUCUGACGUGCAAAUCGAUCGUCAAAUUUGGGUAUAGGGGCGAAAGACUAAUCGAACCAUCUAGUAGCUGGUUCCU